AGGAUGAACGCUGGCGGCGUGCCUAAUACAUGCAAGUCGAGCGAACAGACGAGGAGCUUGCUCCUCUGACGUUAGCGGCGGACGGGUGAGUAACACGUGGAUAACCUACCUAUAAGACUGGGAUAACUUCGGGAAACCGGAGCUAAUACCGGAUAAUAUAUUGAACCGCAUGGUUCAAUAGUGAAAGACGGUUUUGCUGUCACUUAUAGAUGGAUCCGCGCCGCAUUAGCUAGUUGGUAAGGUAACGGCUUACCAAGGCAACGAUGCGUAGCCGACCUGAGAGGGUGAUCGGCCACACUGGAACUGAGACACGGUCCAGACUCCUACGGGAGGCAGCAGUAGGGAAUCUUCCGCAAUGGGCGAAAGCCUGACGGAGCAACGCCGCGUGAGUGAUGAAGGUCUUCGGAUCGUAAAACUCUGUUAUUAGGGAAGAACAAAUGUGUAAGUAACUAUGCACGUCUUGACGGUACCUAAUCAGAAAGCCACGGCUAACUACGUGCCAGCAGCCGCGGUAAUACGUAGGUGGCAAGCGUUAUCCGGAAUUAUUGGGCGUAAAGCGCGCGUAGGCGGUUUUUUAAGUCUGAUGUGAAAGCCCACGGCUCAACCGUGGAGGGUCAUUGGAAACUGGAAAACUUGAGUGCAGAAGAGGAAAGUGGAAUUCCAUGUGUAGCGGUGAAAUGCGCAGAGAUAUGGAGGAACACCAGUGGCGAAGGCGACUUUCUGGUCUGUAACUGACGCUGAUGUGCGAAAGCGUGGGGAUCAAACAGGAUUAGAUACCCUGGUAGUCCACGCCGUAAACGAUGAGUGCUAAGUGUUAGGGGGUUUCCGCCCCUUAGUGCUGCAGCUAACGCAUUAAGCACUCCGCCUGGGGAGUACGACCGCAAGGUUGAAACUCAAAGGAAUUGACGGGGACCCGCACAAGCGGUGGAGCAUGUGGUUUAAUUCGAAGCAACGCGAAGAACCUUACCAAAUCUUGACAUCCUCUGACCCCUCUAGAGAUAGAGUUUACCCCUUCGGGGCACAGAGCGACAGCUGGUGCAUGGUCGACGACAGCCCGUGCCGUGAGAUGCAGGGCUAAGGCCCGCAGCGAGCGCAUCCCUUAGGCUUAGUCGCCAUCAUUACGUCGGGCACUCUAAGUCGACUGCAGCUGACACGCCGGAGCAAGGUGGGCAUGACGUCAAAUCAUCAUGCCCAUUAUGAUUCGGGCUACGCACCUGCUACAGUGCACAAUACA
This 1234-nucleotide ribosomal RNA is filed under the name Staphylococcus epidermidis. Its description in RNAcentral is "bacterial SSU rRNA". It matches the Rfam family "Bacterial small subunit ribosomal RNA", at positions 26 to 1241 of the family's 1533-position model. Lineage: Bacteria; Bacillati; Bacillota; Bacilli; Caryophanales; Staphylococcaceae. The record is from RNAcentral.